This 292-nucleotide ribosomal RNA is filed under the name uncultured bacterium. RNAcentral describes it as "partial 16S ribosomal RNA". It matches the Rfam family "Bacterial small subunit ribosomal RNA", at positions 505 to 796 of the family's 1533-position model. The record is from RNAcentral.
GUGCCAGCAGCCGCGGUAAUACAGAGGGUGCGAGCGUUAAUCGGAAUUACUGGGCGUAAAGCGCGCGUAGGCGGCUUUGCAAGUCGAGUGUGAAAUCCCCAGGCUCAACCUGGGAACUGCUCUCGAGACUGCAUAGCUAGAGUAUGGGAGAGGGAAGUGGAAUUUCAGGUGUAGCGGUGAAAUGCGUAGAUAUCUGAAGGAACAUCAGUGGCGAAAGCGACUUCCUGGACCAAUACUGACGCUCAUGUGCGAAAGCGUGGGGAGCAAACAGGAUUAGAAACCCCGGUAGUCC